AUGCAUACGUUAGGGAGCUUGCCUCACCGAGCUCUUCAAGCUCUAGCCAAAAAGUAUGGCCCCAUAAUGCACAUGCGGUUAGGCUUUGUGCCUGCCAUUGUUGUUUCUUCCCCUCAGGCUGCCGAGCAGUUCCUGAAGACACAUGACCUUGUUUUCGCUAAUAGGCCACCCCAUGAGUGUUCAAGGCACAUUUUAUAUGAUGGAAAGGGCAUAUCGUUUUCGGAGUAUGGCCCUUAUUGGCGCAGCAUGCACCUUGGAGUUGCUCAGCAGCCAUAAGAUUAACUCCUUCAAGCCUAUGAGAAGGGAAGAGGUUGGCCUGUUUAUCAAGUCUUUUGAGGAAGCCGCGCGAGCUGGUGCUGCAGUUGAUGUCAGUGCCAAGGUUGCGUUGCUGAGUGCAGACAUGAGUUGUAGGAUGGUAUUUGGGAAGAAGUACAUGGACAAGGAUCUUGAUGAAAGGGGAUUCAAGGCUAUGUUUCAAGAGGUAAUGCAGCUGGCUGCUACUCCUAAUAUUGGUGAUUACAUUCCUUGCCUUCUGGGGCUUGACCUUCAGGGUCUGACACGGCGGACAAAGGCAACGGGUAAGGUGUUUGAUGACUUCUUUGAGAAGAUCAUUGAUGAACAUAUUCACAAUCCUAAGGAGGAAGGACAGACAAAGGACUUGGUCGAUGUGAUGCUGGUCUUAAUGGGAUCUGAAGGAACUGGAUACAAUAUCGAACGGGCUAGCAUCAAAGCCAUAUCUUUCGUAAGCAUGUUUACAUUAAAUUACGAUUGUUUUAAACAUGAAGCUGCAGAAAACUUAAUUCCCAUGUAAUAACAGGAUAUGCUGGCAGGCUCCAUGGAGACUUCAUCAUCCUCCAUCGAUUGGGCAGUUGCAGAGCUCAUCAGGCAUCCCCGAGUAAUGAAGAAAGUCCAAAGUGAGUUGGAAAAAGUGGUGGGCAUGGAGAGGAUGGUGGAGGAAUCAGACUUGGAGAGCUUGGAGUACUUGAACAUGGUUGUGAAGGAGACCUUGAGGCUCUACCCAGCGGGGCCAUUGUUGGUCCCUCAUGAGUCCAUGGAAGACUGCACAGUCAACGGCUUCUACAUACCCCAAAAGUCCCGCAUCAUAGUGAAUGCAUGGGCGAUAGGGCGGGACCCUGAUUCAUGGACUAAUGCAGACGAGUUCCUCCCUGAGAGAUUUAUCGAAGGCGAUAUAGAUUUUCGGGGAAAGCACUUCCAGUAUAUCUCAUUUGGGUCCGGUAGAAGAGGGUGCCCUGGGAUGGAAUUAGGCAUCACUGUGGUUCGAUUCGUGGUGGCACAACUUGUGCAUUGCUUUGAUUGGGAACUUCCAGAUGGGAUGUUGCCUAGUGAGUUGAACAUGACUGAGGAGUUUGGCCUCGCAAUACCAAGAGCCAAGCAUCUAGUGGCUAUUCCUACUUAUCGCCUUCGCCAAUAAUAAAUUCUCUGUAUCAUUAUCAACUGAGUUCAUCCCAUGUUGGAUGCCAAAUAUUAAUAACAGCCCUUUACAUUUUAUGUAAAGCUACAGUAUAUAUCACGUUCAGUUUCAGAAGAACAUGACAUUUGGGCUGUGAUAAUAAUCGUUUAAUCGUAUGAAAACCUGAAACUUGAUCAAGAUCGAUCAUAUUCAUAAGAACAUAGAUUAAUGUAGGGCUGGAAUGGACCUAACUCUACAUAUACUGCAGCAGGACAUCAACUUCAGAUAAAUUGUAGUCAGAUAGCUCUAAUACGUGGUAAAUAACUUUCCGUAUUCAUUAUAUUAAUGCACUAUCGUUUGAGAGUACUCAACAAUGUAUAAAAUGAAUUUUAAUCUGAGUUACACGCUGUCAUUUCUUUAUUUAUUUGUAGUAACACCAACCUGAAUUGAGAAUAUCAAAAUGAUAAAGAUUGUGAUAUCUCAGGUCGUAUAGAAGGAAAAAGUUUAUAAAGUUAUAUAUAUGCAUCAACUUUUAUAUAUUAAUCAUAUAAAUAUGUUUUAAAGUUGUGAAAACCUUUUGAAUCCAAAGAAGAUAAUAUCUAUUGCAAAAGAUAGUUGUUUAUUUGAAUGAUAUCAAAAUCCAACAGUGAUAUCUCUAAUUUGGCCUCACAAUCUUAUAAUUAAGAUGAAACAAGGAUAAUUGUGAUGAUGUUAUAUUUAUAUAAGAAGUGAUUGUGAUAUCCCACAUUGAAUUAUGUAAAUCAAUAUUAUAUCUAUAUAAGAGGUGACUUUUAUAUUCCACAUUAGAUUUCUAUUAACUAUGUAGACUAAUGUUUUCAGAAUCGGAUCGGAUAUUAAACAAAAAAAGUUAUCAGUUCACAGUUCAUUGGUCGGACCGAUAGUCGAACCGUUGUUGAAUCGAUGACUUCAUAAAUAUAUAUUUUAUAUUUUAUUAGAAUUAAAAUAUUUAAAAUAUAUAAUUAAAAAUUAAAUAAUAUUUAUAAUAUUAUUUAUUCAUUUUUAUACAAAUAUAUUAAUGGUUUAAAUUUAUUAAACAAAAUAUAUACAAUAUUUAAAUAUGAAAAUAUAUUCAAAAUGGAAAGAAAAAAAGUCAUAUUUAAAUAUGAAAACAAAUUGAAAAUAAAAAUAAAUAUAUGAUUUAUAUAUAUAUAUUAUUUUUUGAAAUAGCUUAUGUAGUUGUUUUAUGUUAAAUAUUAACACAAACAAGGAUGGAGCAUAGUGGAGUAGUUAUAUUCAUAGAGCUUGGGGUCUGUGAUUCAAAUAUAAGUUCAUUUUUGCUUUUAACCCUUUACCUUAUCCCAUAUCGGAAGUAAGAGGAAAAAUAAAGUGUUUUAUAAACUUCUUCCCCACUUAAAAAAAAAAGAUCGGUCCAAUUAAUAGCCAGUCAAAAGUCAUACGAUGUAGCAUACUUACCACAUUUUGUAAUACUUACCUCUUCCCAACUAACCUAAGCUAGGCGGUCAAGCCAAGUGGUUGUUGGGCCUUAUUGCACAGCCUUCGGUUAAGGCCCAUUUUGUAAGAUAUAAGAUGGGUGUGGGCAUUUAAUAUUGGGCUGUGGAGAGAAUAUAACCCAUUUUGUCAAAAAAAAAAAAAAAAAAAGGUAGGCAAUUAAUGUUGGACCGUGAGGGAGUGGCCCACUUAGUAAAAAAAAACCGGUCCAAUUGAUAGUCAGUCAAAGGUCACCGGGUAGCAUACUUACCAGUUACCACAUUUUGUAAUGGGGUGGAUUAAUAGUCCCAAUCAUCUAUACUAGGAAAAAUAGUAAAAAAUAAAAAUAAAUGGAAUUUGGAUUCUCCUGCUAGUAUUUAGCUUAAUCUACGGAUAAAAGAUUUUGAUGAUUAUUUGUGUAGGAAGUCAAGACAAAUCUCUCAGCUAAGCUCUAAAUAUAUAGAACUUAAAAUUAAAUAUUGCUUAAUACUUUCAAGUGUUAAGUUGUUUGCCUUAUUAAUAUUUUAUUUUUUAAUUAAAUAUUAAAAAGUGAAAUAAAAAUCAAUAUAUUAUUUUUAAUAUUAAAAAAUUAAAUAUUUUGAUUUUUUCUAUUUAAUAAAAAAUUUAAGAAAUAAUUAAUAAAUUCAUAAAAAGUAAAAAAAACAAACAAUUUAAAAUCUAGAUGAAAGUUGCUUUCAACAAAAAAAUUAAAAAGACAAACAUCAUCUAAGAACUAUAAUAUUAAAAAAUGCUAAUGAAUUUUAAGGUAUCAAUUAAACUAAAUAUUCGAAUUAUUGAAUAAAUAUAAUGAGAUUUAAAUUAUUGAAUAAAGGUAUAAACUAAUAAAAUAAAAUAUCUAUACAAUGACAACUAAUUGACGGUGACUUUUUAAUAAUUAUAUAUAUAUAUAUAUAUAUAUAUAUAUAUAUAUAUAUAUAUAUAUAUAUAUGGAUGAUUAUUGUGAAUUCAGGAUGACAAAAUCGUCACUAAUCAAAUGUGUGCCUUAAAUGAAUUGUUAUGACAACUAAUUGACGGUGACUUUUUGAUAAAUUAUAUAUAUAUAUAUAUAUAUAUGUGGAUGAUUAUUGUGAAUUCAAGAUGACAAAAACGCCACUAACCAAAUGUGGGUGUGCCUUAAAUGAAUUGUUAGAUAUGUACUUCCAAAGAAAAUUACAAGGGGACUGGAGCCAGCCAUUGAUGAAUUGUCAGAUAUAUACUACCAGAGAAAAUUAGAAGGGGAAUGGAGCCAGCCAUUGAUGACUUCUAGGCUGAGAAUGAUAGUGAAAUCUUUUACAUCACUGAGAUAGUUUAUGCGGACCGGAGCCAGCCAUUGAUGACUUCUAGGCUGAGAAUGAUAGUGAAAUCUUUUACAUCACUGAGAUAGUUUAUGCGGACCGGACCCAGCCAUUGAUGACUUCUAGGCUGAGAAUGAUUGUGAAAUCUUUUACAUCACUGAGAUAGUUUAUGCGGACCGGAGCCAGCCAUGGAUGACUUCUAGGCUGAGAAUGAUUGUGAAAUCUUUUACAUCACUAAGAUAGUUUAUGCAGACCGGAGCCAGCCAUUGAUGACUUCUAGGCUGAGGAAUGAUUGUGAAAUCUUUUACAUCACUGAGAUGGUUUAUGUAGCUCAGCCAUUAGCUUGCUCAAUCUUGAUACGUGCUUGGUUACCGAGAAAUACCAAGAAAUGAAGCUGCAGGCCGAGCUUGAGACUUCUGUUUCAUGAUUCAAUCCUUAAUUAGCAGCCACUGAGGCUUUAUUUGUUCUAUCAUAAAUGUUUUUAUGAAUAUUAAUAGAUUGAAAUUUAAAUAUAAAUAAAAUGCUUUAACCAGUAGUUUUUGCCAUGUGUGAAUAAAAAAUAAUUUUUAAAAGAAAUUUUAGUAAGCGUUAAUUAAUCAAAUUUUUAUGUUAAAAUCUUAAAUACAGUGAUAGGCAAGGAUGAGCAAAAAAGGUUCACCUUUGAAUUAAUCAUCUUAUUAAUGAAAUUAAUUACUCUUAUUGAAUUUAAAAGCACUUAAAAUCUAUUUACAAGUGAUUUUAAGAAGACUCAAAGCGUAAUUGAUUUUGAGAAGACUUAGGUGGUGUUUGUUUUUUGGCUGAAUAGAAAAAGCCAAAAUAUUUGACUUUUUCUAUUCAACUAAAAGUAACUUGUUGACAUCAUCCAACAUAGCUAAAAUGAAUUUGUUACCAAUAGGUUCANNNNNNNNNNNNNNNNNNNNNNNNNNNNNNNNNNNNNNNNNNNNNNNNNNNNNNNNNNNNNNNNNNNNNNNNNNNNNNNNNNNNNNNNNNNNNNNNNNNNAACCAAAAAACAAACACCACCUUAGAGCGUUUCCUAAUAAUUAAAAGUACUUUUAAUUACUUAUAAAAAUUAUACGCUUAACAAACUUUUAAAAAUUAGGUAAUCAGUUAAAAUGAUUAUUUGAGAAUUACUUGAUAAGUAAUUACUUCUUUUAAAAAUCACUUCAUAAAAAAAAUUAAUUAAAAAAAAUGGAAUCUGAUCAUCAGUUCUCUAGUACCUUACUGCUAAUUAAAUGCUGAAAAUAAAGGUACAUAAAACAGAAGGGUCACAAUCUGCUUUGAUCUUCAUCUCAAUGUAUUUCUCAGUAACACAACAAUGCCCACAGAAGGUAAUGUUAGAAGAAACAACCCCUCACUGUAGUUCAAGGAGGUUAGUUCUGAGUUUACAAUUUUUGCUACUUUCGAUCUAUAUCAGGAAUUGUUAAAUAUGCCUGUAACCUGAAUGUCAUGGUCAGUCUCAGAAGAACAUGACGUUUGAGAUCAAAACGAUUUCUCCUGCUAGUACUUAGCUUAAUCUACGGAUAAAAGAUUUUGAUGAUUAUUUGUGUAGGAAGUCAAGACAAAUCUCUCAGCUAAGCUCUAUAUAUAUACAACUUACUGCUUAAUAUUUUCAAGUGUUAAGUUGUUUGCCUUUUUUAUAUUUUAUUUUUUAAUUAAAUAUUAAAAAGUGAAAGAAAAAUCAAUAUAUUAUUUUUAAUAUUAAAAAAAUUAAAUAUUUUGAUUUUUUUUCUAUUCAAUAAAAAAUUUAAGAAAUAAAUAAUAAAUUCAUUAAAAGUAAAAAAACAAACAAUUUGAAAUCAAGAGAAAAGUUGCUUUCAACAAAAAAAAUUAAAAAGACAAACAUCACUUAAGAACUAUAAUAUUAAAAAAUGUUAAUAAAUUUUAAGGUAUCAAUUAAACUAAAUAUUUGAUUUAUUAAAUUAAUGUAAUGAGAUUUAAACUAUUGAAUAAAGGUAUAAAUGAAGAAAAAUCAAAACUAUCAAGGGCACAAAUAAAUAGGAUUAUGGUAUACAAUGACAACUAAUUGACGGUGACUUUUUAAUAAUUAUAAUUAUAUAUAUAUAUAUAUAUAUAUGUAUAUGGAUGAUCAUUGUGAAUUCAGGAUGACUUGGGUGUGUCUUAAAUGAAUUGUUAGAUAUAUACUUCCAGAGAAAAUUAGAAGGGGAUUGGAACCAGUCAUUGAUGACUUUUAGGCUGAGGAAUGAUAGUGAAAUCUUCUACAUCACCUCAUCCUCUUCACAACUCUAAGCCCAUAGAGAGCUUGUCUUCUACAUUUAGCUACACCAGCUGGUAGCUCUACCAUAUCUGAGAGAGCAUCAAAACCCUACUCCUGAAUACGAAAGUGAUCAAAACCACCCACCAUGGCUUGGAUAUGGACUGCACUUGCCCUGAUUGCCAUUGUUUUUCUCUUCAACAUGAUGAAAAACAAGCAUAAGAGGCUGCCUCCUGGCCCUAGAGGGAUCCCAAUUUUGGGCAAUAUGCAUAUGUUAGGGAGCUUGCCUCACCGAGCUCUACAAGCUCUAUCCAAAAAGUAUGGCCCCAUCAUGUACAUGCGGUUAGGCUUUGUGCCCGCCAUUGUUGUUUCUUCCCCUCAGGCUGCCGAGCAGUUCCUGAAGACACAUGACCUUGUUUUCGCUAAUAGGCCACCCCAUGAGUGUUCAAGGCACAUGCUAUAUGAUGGAAAGGGCAUAUCGUUUUCUGGGUAUGGCCCUUAUUGGCGCAGCAUGCGCAAGCUGUGCACCUUGGAGUUGCUCACCAGCCGUAAGAUUAACUCCUUCAAGCCUAUGAGAAGGGAAGAGGUUGGCCUGUUGAUCAAGUCUUUUGAGGAAGCUGCGCGAGCUGGUGCUGCAGUUGAUGUCAGUGCCAAGGUUGCGUUGCUGAGUGCAGACAUGAGUUGUAGGAUGGUAUUUGGGAAGAAGUACAUGGACAAGGAUCUUGAUGAAAGGGGAUUCAAGGCUGUGAUUCAAGAGGCAAUGCAGUUGGCUGCUACUCCUAAUAUUGGUGAUUACAUUCCUUGCCUUCUGGGGCUUGAUCUUCAGGGUCUGACAAGGCGGAUAAAGGCAACGGGUAAGGUGUUUGAUGACUUCUUUGAGAAGAUCAUUGAUGAGCAUAUUCAUAAGCCUAAGGAGGAAGGACAGACAAAGGACUUGGUCGAUGUGAUGCUGGACUUAAUGGGAUCUGAAGAGACUGAAUACAACAUCCAACGGGCCAACAUCAAAGCUAUAUCUUUGGUAACCAUCUAUAUAUUGAACUUACAUUGAUUUAAGCAUGAUGUAUAAAGCUGAGUUCCCUUGUAAUACAGGAUAUGAUGGCAGCCUCCAUGGACACUUCAGCAACCAUGAUUGAGUGGGCACUUUCAGAACUCAUCAAGCAUCCACCGAUGAUGAAAAAAGUUAUAAAUGAGUUGGAAAAAGUGGUGGGCAUGGAGAGAAUGGUGGAGGAAUCAGACUUAGAGAGCUUGGAGUACCUGAACAUGGUUGUGAAGGAGACCUUGAGGCUCCACCCAGUGGCACCUCUACUGAUCCCUCAUGAGUCCAUGGAAGACUGCACAGUUGAUGGCUUCCAUAUACCCCAAAAAUCUCGUGUAAUAGUGAAUGUAUGGGCGAUAGGGCGCGACCCCAAUGCAUGGACUGAUGCAGACAAGUUCCUGCCAGAGAGGUUUAUGGAGAGCGAUAUAGAUUUUCGGGGGCAGCACUUUCAAUUUAUCCCGUUUGGCUCUGGUAGAAGAGGUUGCCCCGGGAUGCAAUUAGGCCUCACCGUGGUUCGGCUCGUGCUGGCGCAACUUGUUCAUUGCUUUGAUUGGGAACUUCCAGAUAACAUGUUGCCAAGUGAGUUGGACAUGACUGAGGAGUUUGGCCUCACAUUACCAAGGGCCAAGCAUCUAGUGGCUAUUCCUACUUGUCGCCUUCACAAAUGAUAUAAUCUCUGUAUCAUUGCCAACUGAGUUCCAAUGUUGAAUGUGAAAUAUGAAUAAUAACGCUUUAUGCUUUAUGUAAAACUACAGUAUCUGCUGCAAAGUUGGAUCCUCUUACUUUGGUAGGUCAUCGUAUUGCUGACCAGAAAAUCAAAAUUAAAAGUCUUGCUCAAUUGAACUUAAGAAGGAAGAAUAUGGAACUUAGCGCGCAUUUAAUGAUUUUCAUCUGGUAGUUGAUCAAGUGAAAUAAAACUUAGUUCUGAGUUCGCAUUUUUAGCCACUUAGGUCCAACUGACCAUUGCCUGGUGAUAGUCCUUCUGAAAUGUAUUAGGAUUGUGAACUGAUUGGGAAUGUUAUAUAUGCAUAUAACCCCAAAACUUAAUUAUCACGGUCAGUUUUCAGAAGAACAAAAUAUUUGGGCCGUGAUACUAAUCGUUUAAACAGAUGGAAACCCGAAACUUGUCGUGAUUAUUUUUAUAAAAACAUGACUCUUACGCUGGAAUGGACCUAACCCUAUAUAAUAUGCAGCAGGCAUCAACUUAACAUAUAACCGUGGUCAACCCUAAUAUAGGGUAAAUAACAUUCCAUAUUCAUUAUCAUGAAAUGAAUUGACAUUUCAAUUCAUUUGAGAGUAUUCGAUUUGAUGUUUAGCAUGAAUUUUAAUCUGAAUUACAUCACUGUCACUUCUUUUUUAUUUUAUGGUAAGGCCAAUCUGAUUUGAGAAUGCCAAGAGGAUCAUAUAUAUAUAUAUAUAUAGUGACAAAAGUUGAUCCAAUGUAGCAUGAUUAAGAGUUCGUUAUGAUCUAAACUACGAAAAAUAACCACAAAAAUGGAAUCUCAGCUCCCUAUGUACCUUACUGCUAAAUGCUGAAAAGGGAGGAAUAUAAAACAGAAGGGUCGCAAUCUGCUUUGAUCUUCAUCUCAUUGUAUUUCUCAGUAACACAACAAGGCACAUGGGAUAAUGUUAGAAAAUAGGAACAAGCUGCUGCCACAAUUAAUAUUACACAAGAAACCAAUAAAUAAAAAAAAUAUGGUAGUUUUGUCAGGAUCAUAAUUAUUCAUAGGUUCUAUCAGUGUGAGGAUGUCCUUUAAUCUCAAGCUGUAGCUCACAAUUGGUGCCUUCCAAGGUUCACGGUAUGAAAUCAACUAUGAGUCUUUUUUGGUAGUGAUAAAACAAAUCUUGAACUAAAAUAAUUUCUUCUUACAAAUUAAUCCUUGAGUCUGUUGCUGAUUUCCCAGAUGAGAUCCUUAAAUCAAAACAACCUUAGAUAUAGUAUUAAUCAUGCAUUAGCAUUGAUAUCACCUACAUUUUAAUUUGUCUCUUCUGUUUUGCCGUUCAAUAUUCCCAAAUCACACAUAAAUAUCCAAAGUACUGCACCCUAUAUAUAUAGGGGGAUCGCCUUCUACAUUGAGACCAGCUCCGCCAUGGAUUGGUCAUGGAUUGCACUUUCACUGAUUGCUCUUGCUUAUGUUGUUCGAGCAUUGCUAAACAUAAGCAAGAACAAGCAUAAGAGAUUGCCUCCUGGUCCAAGAGGGAUCCCCAUUUUGGGAAACCUUCAUAUGCUAGGUGAGUUGCCUCACCAGGAUCUCCUUCGACUCGCCAAGAAGUAUGGCCCCAUCAUGUACAUGCGCUUUGCCCUGGUGCCCACCAUUGUGGUCUCAUCCCCUCAAGCAGCUGAGCAGUUCCUCAAGACGAAUGAUCUUGUUUUUGCUGGAAGGCCACCUCAUGAAGGUUCAAGAAUUGUAUCCUACGACCGAAAAGGCAUAUCCUUUACAGACUAUGGUCCUUAUUGGCGCAACAUGCGCAAGUUAUGCACCUUGGGACUACUUAGCAAUCUCAGAAUCAGUUCUUUCCAGCCCCUGAG
RNAcentral lists this long non-coding RNA (9933 nucleotides) under Vitis vinifera (wine grape). RNAcentral describes it as "long non-coding RNA (VVIN_LNC002284)". The record is from RNAcentral. Lineage: Eukaryota; Viridiplantae; Streptophyta; Magnoliopsida; Vitales; Vitaceae.